This 426-nucleotide long non-coding RNA is filed under the name Trifolium pratense (red clover). RNAcentral's name for it is "long non-coding RNA (TPRA_LNC008928)". Lineage: Eukaryota; Viridiplantae; Streptophyta; Magnoliopsida; Fabales; Fabaceae. The record is from RNAcentral.
AAUAAUCACUUCACUCACUCGCUUUCUCUCAACUGUUUAAUCGGGUAAUCACUCAAUCAACACAAACCAAACUAUUCUACCAUAGGCUUGCAAGAAUUCUAACAAUCAAUCGAUAAGCAAAUUAAAUACACACUUUUGAGGUCUUAAAGGCCAUAAUGUGGCUUAGGUAAGGGUGGAGGUUUUUGGGAAGUGAGUUAAAAACUUGGAGUUAAGGACAUACCCAAUUUCACAAAAUUUUCAAGAAACACACUAGAGAACAACUUAUUUCCACAUUAUCUUUCAAUCUCAACACAUAAAAACAUCAGACCAUCACAAACUAUUUUUCGUUCUUUUCAUUAUUUCCUCUUCAUCUUUUUUGAAGAAGUCACUUUUUUUUUUCUUUUCAAAAUUACAAACAUUUGGCUUCUUGAUUUUUCAACAUUUUUC